This 268-nucleotide ribosomal RNA is filed under the name uncultured Thelephora. Its description in RNAcentral is "partial 28S ribosomal RNA". It matches the Rfam family "Eukaryotic large subunit ribosomal RNA", at positions 1 to 260 of the family's 3401-position model. The record is from RNAcentral. Lineage: Eukaryota; Fungi; Basidiomycota; Agaricomycetes; Thelephorales; Thelephoraceae.
UCGAUCUCAAAUCAGGUAGGACUACCCGCUGAACUUAAGCAUAUCAAUAAGCGGAGGAAAAGAAACUAACAAGGAUUCCCCUAGUAACUGCGAGUGAAGCGGGAAGAGCUCAAAUUUAAAAUCUGGCGUGCCUCUGGUCGUCCGAGUUGUAGUCUAGAGAAGUGUUUUCCGUGUUGGACCGUGUAUAAGUCUCUUGGAACAGAGCGUCAUAGAGGGUGAGAAUCCCGUCUUUGACACGGACUACCAAUGCUUUGUGAUACACUCUCAA